RNAcentral lists this ribosomal RNA (499 nucleotides) under uncultured bacterium. RNAcentral describes it as "partial 16S ribosomal RNA". It matches the Rfam family "Bacterial small subunit ribosomal RNA", at positions 30 to 523 of the family's 1533-position model. The record is from RNAcentral.
AUUGAACGCUGGCGGUAUGCUUAACACAUGCAAGUCGAACGAUGAGAAAGAGCUUGCUCUUUCGAUUAGUGGCGGACGGGUGCGUAACGCGUAGGAAUCUACCUAUUAGUGGGGGACAACUUAGGGAAACUUAAGCUAAUACCGCAUACGCCCUACGGGGGAAAGAAGGGGAUCGCAAGACCUUUUGCUAAUAGAUGAGCCUGCGUAGGAUUAGCUAGUUGGUGGGGUAAAAGCUCACCAAGGCGACGAUCCUUAACUGGUUUGAGAGAAUGAUCAGGCACACUGGAACUGAGACACAGUCUAGACUCCUACGGGAGGCAGCAGUGGGGAAUAUUGGACAAUGGGCGAAAGCCUGAUCCAGCAAUACCGCGUGUGUGAAGAAGGCCUUAGGGUUGUAAAGCACUUUCAAUUGGAAGGAAAACCUCGAAGCUAAUACCUUCGAGUUUGACAUUACCUUUAGAAGAAGCACCGGCUAACUCCGUGCCAGCCGCCGCGGUAA